AUACGUAGGGGGCUAGCGUUAUCCGGAAUUACUGGGCGUAAAGGGUGCGUAGGUGGUUUCUUAAGUCAGAAGUGAAAGGCUACGGCUCAACCGUAGUAAGCUUUUGAAACUAAGAGACUUGAGUGCAGGAGAGGAGAGUAGAAUUCCUAGUGUAGCGGUGAAAUGCGUAGAUAUUAGGAGGAAUACCAGUUGCGAAGGCGGCUCUCUGGACUGUAACUGACACGGAGGCACGAAAGCGUGGGGAGCAAACAGGAUUAGAUACCCUGGUAGUCCACGCCGUAAACGAUGAGUACUAGCUGUCGGGGGUUACCCCCCUCGGUGGCGCAGCUAACGCAUUAAGUACUCCGCCUGGGAAGUACGCUCGCAAGAGUGAAACUUAAAGGAAUUGACGGGG
This 394-nucleotide ribosomal RNA is filed under the name uncultured bacterium. Its description in RNAcentral is "partial 16S ribosomal RNA". It matches the Rfam family "Bacterial small subunit ribosomal RNA", at positions 523 to 918 of the family's 1533-position model. The record is from RNAcentral.